GAGACCUCCGGUCAGGCGGGGCUACCCGCUGAAUU
RNAcentral lists this ribosomal RNA (35 nucleotides) under Lathyrus pannonicus subsp. longestipulatus. RNAcentral's name for it is "partial 25S ribosomal RNA". Lineage: Eukaryota; Viridiplantae; Streptophyta; Magnoliopsida; Fabales; Fabaceae. The record is from RNAcentral.